CGCAAGCCUGAUGCAGCGACGCCGCGUGAGGGAUGACGGCCUUCGGGUUGUAAACCUCUUUCAGUAGGGAAGAAGCGAAAGUGACGGUACCUGCAGAAGAAGCGCCGGCUAACUACGUGCCAGCAGCCGCGGUAAUACGUAGGGCGCAAGCGUUAUCCGGAAUUAUUGGGCGUAAAGAGCUCGUAGGCGGUUUGUCGCGUCUGCCGUGAAAGUCCGGGGCUCAACUCCGGAUCUGCGGUGGGUACGGGCAGACUAGAGUGAUGUAGGGGAGACUGGAAUUCCUGGUGUAGCGGUGAAAUGCGCAGAUAUCAGGAGGAACACCGAUGGCGAAGGCAGGUCUCUGGGCAUUAACUGACGCUGAGGAGCGAAAGCAUGGGGAGCGAACAGGAUUAGAUACCCUGGUAGUCCAUGCCGUAAACGUUGGGCACUAGGUGUGGGGGACAUUCCACGUUUUCCGCGCCGUAGCUAACGCAUUAAGUGCCCCGCCUGGGGAGUACGGCCGCAAGGCUAAAACUCAAAGGAAUUGACGGGGGCCCGCACA
Molecule: ribosomal RNA, 541 nt
Filed under: Arthrobacter sp. HZDC6
Lineage: Bacteria; Bacillati; Actinomycetota; Actinomycetes; Micrococcales; Micrococcaceae
Description: bacterial SSU rRNA
Rfam family: Bacterial small subunit ribosomal RNA
Source: RNAcentral